AGAACGAACGCUGGCGGCAGGCUUAACACAUGCAAGUCGAGCGCCCCGCAAGGGGAGCGGCAGACGGGUGAGUAACGCGUGGGAACAUACCCUCCGGUUCGGAAUAGCUCAGGGAAACUUGGAUUAAUACCGGAUACGGCUUAGCGGCGAAAGAUUUAUCGCCGGAGGAUUGGCCCGCGUUCGAUUAGCUAGUUGGUGAGGUAACGGCUCACCAAGGCGACGAUCGAUAGCUGGUCUGAGAGGAUGAUCAGCCACAUUGGGACUGAGACACGGCCCAAACUCCUACGGGAGGCAGCAGUGGGGAAUAUUGGACAAUGGGCGCAAGCCUGAUCCAGCCAUGCCGCGUGAGUGAUGACGGCCUUAGGGUUGUAAAGCUCUUUCGCUAGGGACGAUAAUGACGGUACCUAGACAAGAAGCCCCGGCUAACUUCGCGCCAGCAGCCGC
Molecule: ribosomal RNA, 444 nt
Filed under: uncultured bacterium
Lineage: Bacteria
Description: SSU rRNA
Rfam family: Bacterial small subunit ribosomal RNA
Source: RNAcentral